UUUUGCAGCAAUCAAACAAGCUGCAAACUUCACAUCAAAUAAAAUAAUCAAACACUAUCAAAAGGUUAUUGACUCAGCAAGAAGCAAGAGAAGCGAAAUCUAAAGUUAAGGCAACAGAGUCAAGAGUGGGAACCUUACUCAUUUUAUGCUUUGACACCAAUAUUGUCGGUUUCAGGCUUCUCCGAGAAUCUCCAAGGAUUAAGUCACGGGUUUUGUCCAUCCUCUUUGACUGGCUCGUGACCGGGAAGCUCUCAUCAGAGGAAGCAGGCAACACGCUCUUGCCUUCGGAGAAACUAAUUCCCUCGAUGGAGGUUUCGUAACACUCCUGCCACAAACUGCAGCAAUAGAAAGGGAAUCUACUGGAGGAAACCCUAGCAGAGGAUGAUGUUUAGAGUUGGAGAAAACUCGCAAGACAACAACGAAGAUGUGGUUCUGUGAUGUACUAAUGCAAAAUCAACAAGAAACAGAGAGAAUGAAGAUGUAUCGAGAAUAAAAAUGUGAGAGGACGGAGACGAGAGAGGUGCGCGAAAAUGAAAAGAGAUGUUUCAGGAUGAGAAUGAAGUUUCAGGAAGAGGGGUUGCACCUAUU
RNAcentral lists this small RNA (588 nucleotides) under Vigna angularis var. angularis. RNAcentral describes it as "Non-protein coding transcript". Lineage: Eukaryota; Viridiplantae; Streptophyta; Magnoliopsida; Fabales; Fabaceae. The record is from RNAcentral.